GAUAAACGCUGGCGGCGUGCAUGAGACAUGCAAGUCGAACGGAGGAUCAGGGCUUGCCUUGAUCCUUAGUGGCGGACGGCUGAGUAACGCGUAGGUGACCUGCCCCGAAGUGGGGAAUAACUGCCCGAAAGGGUGGCUAAUACCGCAUGUGGUGGUGUGUUCGAUCACACCAGUAAAGCCGCAAGGCGCUUCGGGAGGGGCCUGCGUCCGAUUAGCUCGUUGGUGGGGUAACGGCUCACCAAGGCGACGAUCGGUAGGUGGUCUGAGAGGACGAUCACCCAGACUGGGACUGAGACACGGCCCAGACUCCUACGGGAGGCAGCAGUCGGGAAUUUUGCGCAAUGGACGAAAGUCUGACGCAGCAACGCCGCGUGAGGGAUGACGGCCUUCGGGUUGUAAACCUCUUUUGUCAGGGACGAUGAUGACGGUACCUGACGAAUAAGUCACGGCUAACUACGUGCCAGCAGCCGCCGUAACAC
Molecule: ribosomal RNA, 479 nt
Filed under: uncultured bacterium
Lineage: Bacteria
Description: bacterial SSU rRNA
Rfam family: Bacterial small subunit ribosomal RNA
Source: RNAcentral